AUGCUAAAUUGUUGGCCAUGAAACUAAUGUGCCGGGGUUCUUUACACUGAUGCCAGCUAGCUACCCUAUUCUGGAUCUUUUGCAGCUGUAUUACCUCAUCCCAAGCUGUCAAGGUCGGGCCACCUGGGGACCCCACCUAAGUUAUGGGUGCUCCAGGAAGCACUGAUGACAGCACAGCAGGUGGCAUGCUGCCCUCUGAGUCACAACAGAGAAGUCUGUCACCACUGGGUACUGGC
This 236-nucleotide long non-coding RNA is filed under the name Gallus gallus (chicken). Lineage: Eukaryota; Metazoa; Chordata; Aves; Galliformes; Phasianidae. The record is from RNAcentral.